This 444-nucleotide long non-coding RNA is filed under the name Nicotiana tabacum (common tobacco). RNAcentral's name for it is "long non-coding RNA (NTAB_LNC003674)". Lineage: Eukaryota; Viridiplantae; Streptophyta; Magnoliopsida; Solanales; Solanaceae. The record is from RNAcentral.
GAGGAACACCACCUGCGAACUGUGGUAACCCCGCCCCUAGUGGCGGGCAUCACCACAACCCUACUCCAUCGCCUCCUUCAGGAGGCCAUGGAGGUGGUGGUUACUAUCCCUCCCCUCCAUCUCAUGGUGGAAGCCCUCCAAGUACUCCUAGUACCCCCAGUACACCAUCCACCCCCUCCACACCUACUAUUGUAACCCCACCUACACCUCCUACAAUAGACCCUGGCACUCCAAGUACUCCAGGGGGUGGUUACUAUGGUGGAAGUCCUCCAAGUAUUCCUACCCCUAGUAUUACACCCCCUACCCCUUCUACACCUAUCAUUGAAACACCACCAACUACUCCAGUCGUUGAAACACCACCAACUACUCCUACCAUUGAUCCAGGUACUCCAAGUGCUCCAGGGGUCUUUCCAAUUGACCCCAACUCACCACCUUUUACAUGCG